AUGGCCGACGUGGGUCAAAGUGUAGUAUCUGUUCUUAUCAGGUUAAGAUCUCAUACGGGUUGUACGAGUGUUUGAACCCAAGAUAUUAAAUUUAUUUUUGUAAUUUGGCGGAGUGGUUCAAGCCUGCUUCACCUCCACUGCGUGUCGAACCAGUAUUGCACGAUGCUCUGAAUUUUCGCUCUACGGAC
Molecule: small nuclear RNA, 188 nt
Organism: Dermacentor silvarum
Lineage: Eukaryota; Metazoa; Arthropoda; Arachnida; Ixodida; Ixodidae
Product: U2 spliceosomal RNA
Exons: 1
Source: RefSeq, a predicted model, not a curated record